RNAcentral lists this unclassified non-coding RNA (379 nucleotides) under soil metagenome. Its description in RNAcentral is "partial contains 5.8S ribosomal RNA, internal transcribed spacer 2, and large subunit ribosomal RNA". The stretch from base 1 to 120 matches the Rfam family "5.8S ribosomal RNA", at positions 35 to 154 of the family's 154-position model. The record is from RNAcentral.
GAUGAAGAACGUAGCGAAAUGCGAUAAGUAAUGUGAAUUGCAGAAUUCAGUGAAUCAUCGAAUCUUUGAACGCACCUUGCACCCUUUGGCAUUCCGAAGGGUAUGCUCGUUUGAGUGUCAUUGUACUCUCACACUUCCAAUCUUUGGAUUGGGAGCAGUGGACUUGGGUGUUGCUGCUUACUGUGGCUCACCUCAAAUCGAUUCGUGCACCUCUUGGUUGGACAUAGUACGGCGUGAUAAGUGUCUUCGCCGGCUCCUCAGUAGAGGGUGGCUGAUCAGGAGCUCUGUGCUUCAAACCGUCCUCGGACAACAACUGACAACUUGACCUCAAAUCGAGUAGGACUACCCGCUGAACUUAAGCAUAUCAAUAAGCGGAGGA